This 253-nucleotide ribosomal RNA is filed under the name uncultured bacterium. Its description in RNAcentral is "partial 16S ribosomal RNA". It matches the Rfam family "Bacterial small subunit ribosomal RNA", at positions 524 to 776 of the family's 1533-position model. The record is from RNAcentral.
CACGAACCGUACGAACGUUAUUCGGAAUUACUGGGCUUAAAGGGUUUGUAGGCGGCCUUGUAGGUCAGGUGUGAAAGCCCUCGGCUCAACCGAGGAACAGCGCUUGAUACUGCAAGGCUUGAGGGAGACAGGGGUAAGCGGAACUGAUGGUGGAGCGGUGAAAUGCGUUGAUAUCAUCAGGAACACCGGUGGCGAAAGCGGCUUACUGGGUCUCUUCUGACGCUGAGGAACGAAAGCUAGGGUAGCGAACGGG